Molecule: transfer RNA, 71 nt
Filed under: Planctomycetota bacterium
Lineage: Bacteria; Pseudomonadati; Planctomycetota
Description: Planctomycetes bacterium tRNA-Gly
Rfam family: tRNA
About the family: Transfer RNA (tRNA) molecules are approximately 80 nucleotides in length.
Source: RNAcentral
GCGGGUGUGGCUCAGUGGUAGAGCUCCAGUCUUCCAAACUGGCUGCGUGGGUUCGAUUCCCAUCACCCGCU